RNAcentral lists this transfer RNA (72 nucleotides) under Spiribacter salinus. RNAcentral describes it as "tRNA-Lys". It matches the Rfam family "tRNA". Rfam says of the family: Transfer RNA (tRNA) molecules are approximately 80 nucleotides in length. Lineage: Bacteria; Pseudomonadati; Pseudomonadota; Gammaproteobacteria; Chromatiales; Ectothiorhodospiraceae. The record is from RNAcentral.
GGGCUCGCGAAAGGGUAUCGGAGCUGACUUUUAAUCAGUUGGUCGCUGGUUCGAUCCCAGCACGGCCCACCA